This 312-nucleotide ribosomal RNA is filed under the name Triticum aestivum (bread wheat). Its description in RNAcentral is "partial small subunit ribosomal RNA". Lineage: Eukaryota; Viridiplantae; Streptophyta; Magnoliopsida; Poales; Poaceae. The record is from RNAcentral.
AUGUCUUCCUCCUCCUCCUCCGGUGCUUCCCAGACCACCCUCAAUGGGCAGGUCACCGAGAAGCUAACACGCACGAACUACGUGCUCUGGUGCACGCAGGUCACUCCCCAUCUGUGCGGCGCCCGCGUCUUCGGCUACGUCGACGGCACCACACCGGAGCCGGCCAGGCUUCAUGUCACCAAGGACAAGGAUGGCAAAGAAAGCGCUGAGCCCAACCCUCUCCACCCAAUCUGGGUCCGGAAGGAUCAACAGGUGUUGGGCUACCUGCUCAGCACCCUCUCCAAGGAGGUCCUGAUCGCGGUGACCACGGUC